GACAGAGGGGGCGAGCGUUGUCCGGAAUGACUGGGCGUACAGCGCGCGCAGGCGGGUAUGGACGUGCCGUGUGACAGCGCGGGGCUCAACCCCGCGUCGCCACGGUAGACGCCAUGCCUGGAGUGGGUGAGAGGGAUGUGGAAUGCCCGGUGGAGCGGUGAAAUGCGUAGAGAUCGGGCGGAACACCAGUGGCGUAAGCGGCAUCCUGGCACCAAACUGACGCUGAGGCGCGAGAGCGUGGGGAGCAAACGGG
RNAcentral lists this ribosomal RNA (253 nucleotides) under uncultured bacterium. Its description in RNAcentral is "partial 16S ribosomal RNA". It matches the Rfam family "Bacterial small subunit ribosomal RNA", at positions 524 to 776 of the family's 1533-position model. The record is from RNAcentral.